UACAGAGGGUGCAAGCGUUGUUCGGAAUUAUUGGGCGUAAAGCGCGUGUAGGCGGCUUUGCAAGUCGGGUGUGAAAGCCCUCAGCUCAACUGAGGAAGUGCGCCCGAAACUGCAGAGCUUGAGUGCCGGAGAGGGUGGCGGAAUUCCCAGUGUAGCGGUGAAAUGCGUAGAUAUUGGGAGGAACACCAGUGGCGAAGGCGGCUACCUGGACCGGUUCUGACGCUGAGGCGCGAAAGCGUGGGUAGCAAACAGG
RNAcentral lists this ribosomal RNA (253 nucleotides) under uncultured bacterium. Its description in RNAcentral is "partial 16S ribosomal RNA". It matches the Rfam family "Bacterial small subunit ribosomal RNA", at positions 524 to 776 of the family's 1533-position model. The record is from RNAcentral.